This 348-nucleotide long non-coding RNA is filed under the name Elaeis guineensis (African oil palm). RNAcentral describes it as "long non-coding RNA (EGUI_LNC015681)". The record is from RNAcentral. Lineage: Eukaryota; Viridiplantae; Streptophyta; Magnoliopsida; Arecales; Arecaceae.
CUGAGUCCCUUUGAUUCUUUUCUACUGUUGCCUACUCUCCUCUCUGACUUGACCGUCGGAGGGUCCCCGCCGGAGGCAUCUCCAGUCAGUGCGGACUUCUCUUGCAGGUGCUCGUUCCCGACGACCAGGCGACGAGGGGAUUGGCCGCAAUAAUUCCUAAUAAGACCAAGCCAAACCUCGUUAUACUUGAACCAUCCACAUGACCGUAUCCUUGUGCUUCACUCAUUAUAAAUAGCAUCUAAGGUUAUUCCAAGUCCAUAGGCAAAUUGAAAGUUGGCUGCACACCAGAUGAAGUGCUUGCAGUAGUAAUAUGAAAUUGGUGAAUUAGGAUGGUGCAUGAGUUAGUCC